GGGCGAAUGGUUUAGUGGUAUAAUACUCCCUUAGCAUCCGAUCCUCUAGAUCUGGCUAAAUCUGGGAGUGGUCCGGGGUUCGAUUCCCCGUUCGUCCA
Molecule: transfer RNA, 98 nt
Filed under: Hapsidospora chrysogenum ATCC 11550
Lineage: Eukaryota; Fungi; Ascomycota; Sordariomycetes; Hypocreales; Bionectriaceae
Description: Acremonium chrysogenum ATCC 11550 tRNA
Rfam family: tRNA
About the family: Transfer RNA (tRNA) molecules are approximately 80 nucleotides in length.
Source: Rfam by way of RNAcentral